Non-coding RNA from Podarcis lilfordi (Lilford's wall lizard), 78 nucleotides. NCBI's taxonomy places the organism in Eukaryota, Metazoa, Chordata, Lepidosauria, Squamata, Lacertidae. The record is from the annotation of a GenBank genome assembly.
GGAAUGGGCGCAGAUCAGUGGAAAAAGCAUCUGCUUUGGAUGCAGAAGGUAUGCCAGGUUCAAUUCCUGGCACCUCCA